This 234-nucleotide ribosomal RNA is filed under the name uncultured bacterium. RNAcentral describes it as "partial 16S ribosomal RNA". It matches the Rfam family "Bacterial small subunit ribosomal RNA", at positions 355 to 581 of the family's 1533-position model. The record is from RNAcentral.
UAGGGAAUCUUCCACAAUGGACGCAAGUCUGAUGGAGCAACGCCGCGUGAGUGAAGAAGGUUUUCGGACCGUAAAGCUCUGUUGUUGGUGAAGAAGGAUAGAGGUAGUAACUGGCCUUUAUUUGACGGUAAUCAACCAGAAAGUCACGGCUAACUACGUGCCAGCAGCCGCGGUAAUACGUAGGUGGCGAGCGUUGUCCGGAUUUAUUGGGCGUAAAGCGAGCGCAGGCGGAAG